This 328-nucleotide ribosomal RNA is filed under the name uncultured eukaryote. Its description in RNAcentral is "partial 18S ribosomal RNA". It matches the Rfam family "Eukaryotic small subunit ribosomal RNA", at positions 1470 to 1796 of the family's 1831-position model. The record is from RNAcentral.
CCCUUAGAUGUUCUGGGCCGCACGCGCGCUACACUGAUGCAUUCAACGAGUUUCUUCCUGGUCCGAGAGGAAUGGGUAAUCUUUUGAAUGUGCAUCGUGAUUGGGAUAGAUGAUUGCAAUUUUUCAUCUUCAACGAGGAAUGCCUAGUAAACGCAAGUCAUCAGCUUGCAUUGAUUACGUCCCUGCCCUUUGUACACACCGCCCGUCGCUCCUACCGAUUGAAUGAUCCGAUGAAUAUCAUGGAUUGAGGAUGCAAGUAGGUUCGCCUAUCUUCAUCUUCGAGAAGUGAAGUAAAUCUUAUCAUUUAGAGGAAGGAGAAGUCGUAACA